AUGCAAAUCAAAACUACAAUAAGGUACCAUCUCACACUGGUCAGAUGGCCGUCAUUAAAUAGUCCACAAACAAUAAAUGCUGGAGAGCGUGUGGAGAAAAGGGAACCCUCCUACACUGUUAGUGGGAAUGUAGUUUGGUGCAGCUAUUAUGGAAAACAGUACGGAAACUCC
Non-coding RNA from Vicugna pacos (alpaca), 171 nucleotides. The record is from RefSeq and is a predicted model, not a curated record. NCBI's taxonomy places the organism in Eukaryota, Metazoa, Chordata, Mammalia, Artiodactyla, Camelidae.